GUUUGGCAACUGGGGUGAAGGGAUUGCCCUCCCCCUGCUGGGAUCCCCCCAGCCCCUCCGGUCUGGCAGGAAGGGGGCAGCCUGCAACCCCCAAGGGCAGGGGGCCAGAAGGGGCUCACAAAGGCUUGCCCUCCAGGGAGAUGACGGCACUGCCCCCCAGCUUCUCUGCCAGGGUGCAGCGGUCCUUGACCUCCUCGUAG
Molecule: long non-coding RNA, 200 nt
Filed under: Homo sapiens (human)
Lineage: Eukaryota; Metazoa; Chordata; Mammalia; Primates; Hominidae
Description: HSALNT0176942
Source: RNAcentral